This 429-nucleotide ribosomal RNA is filed under the name Actinomycetes bacterium. RNAcentral's name for it is "Actinobacteria bacterium partial 16S ribosomal RNA". It matches the Rfam family "Bacterial small subunit ribosomal RNA", at positions 355 to 776 of the family's 1533-position model. The record is from RNAcentral. Lineage: Bacteria; Bacillati; Actinomycetota; Actinomycetes.
UAGGGAAUCUUCCGCAAUGGGCGAAAGCCUGACGGAGCAACGCCGCGUGAGUGAUGAAGGUCUUCGGAUCGUAAAACUCUGUUAUUAGGGAAGAACAAAUGUGUAAGUAACUAUGCACGUCUUGACGGUACCUAAUCAGAAAGCCACGGCUAACUACGUGCCAGCAGCCGCGGUAAUACGUAGGUGGCAAGCGUUAUCCGGAAUUAUUGGGCGUAAAGCGCGCGUAGGCGGUUUUUUAAGUCUGAUGUGAAAGCCCACGGCUCAACCGUGGAGGGUCAUUGGAAACUGGAAAACUUGAGUGCAGAAGAUGAAAGUGGAAUUCCAUGUGUAGCAGUGAAAUGCGCAGAGAUAUGGAGGAAAACCAGUGGCGAAGGCGACUUUCUGGUCUGUAACUGACGCUGAUGUGCGAAAGCGUGGGGAUCAAACAGG